UGCUAAGACUGGAUAGGAAACAAGAAGGCAUCUUUUUGUUUUUAAAAGACCUCCUAAAAAAAGGUAUGCUUAAAGAGGGGCUUGCGCCACAUUAGUUUGUUGGUAAGGUAAUGGCUUACCAAGACUAUGAUGUGUAGCUGGACUGAGAGGUUGAACAGCCACAUUGGGACUGAGACACGGCCCAAACUCCUACGGGAGGCAGCAGUAGGGAAUUUUCGGCAAUGGAGGAAACUCUGACCGAGCAAUGCCGCGUGAACGAUGAAGUAUUUCGGUAUGUAAAGUUCUUUUAUUGAAGAAGAAAAAUAGUGGAAAAACUAUCUUGACGCUAUUCAAUGAAUAAGCCCCGGCUAACUAUGUGCCAGCAGCCGCGGUAAGACAUAGGGGGCGAGCGUUAUCCGGAAUUAUUGGGCGUAAAGGGUGCGUAGGCGGUUAGUUAAGUCUAUAAUUUAAUUUCAACGCUUAACGUUGUUUUGUUAUAGAAACUGCCUAACUAGAGUGAGAUAGAGGCAAGUGGAAUUCCAUGUGUAGCGGUAAAAUGUGUAAAUAUAUGGAGGAACACCAGAAGCGUAGGCGGCUUGCUGGGUCUUUACUGACGCUGAGGCACGAAAGCGUGGGUAGCAAACAGGAUUAGAUACCCUGGUAGUCCACGCCGUAAACGAUGAGUACUAAGUGUCAGGGUAAAACUUGGUACUGAAGUUAACACAUUAAGUACUCCGCCUGAGUAGUACGUACGCAAGUAUGAAACUUAAAGGAAUUGACGGAACUCCGCACAAGCGGUGGAUCAUGUUGUUUAAUUCGAAGAUACACGAAAAACCUUACCAGGUCUUGACAUACUCUGCAAAGUUAUAGAAAUAUAAUGGAGGUUAUCAGGGAUACAGGUGGUGCAUGGUUGUCGUCAGCUCGUGUCGUGAGAUGUUAGGUUAAGUCCUAAAACGAGCGCAACCCUUGUCGUUAGUUACCAGCACGUAAAGGUGGGGACUUUAGCAGGACUGCCAAUUAAAAUUGGGAGGAAGGUGAGG
Molecule: ribosomal RNA, 1019 nt
Filed under: Candidatus Phytoplasma luffae
Lineage: Bacteria; Bacillati; Mycoplasmatota; Mollicutes; Acholeplasmatales; Acholeplasmataceae
Description: bacterial SSU rRNA
Rfam family: Bacterial small subunit ribosomal RNA
Source: RNAcentral